This 116-nucleotide ribosomal RNA is filed under the name Anolis carolinensis (green anole). The record is from RNAcentral. Lineage: Eukaryota; Metazoa; Chordata; Lepidosauria; Squamata; Anolidae.
GCUAUCAACAGUAUCCUAAAGGCACCUGAUCUCAUCUGAUCUUGGAAGCUAAGCAUAUUCAACCCUGGUUUGUACUUGGAUGGGAAACCACUGAGAAAUACCAGGUGCUGUAGGCU